Molecule: ribosomal RNA, 519 nt
Filed under: uncultured diatom
Lineage: Eukaryota; Bacillariophyta
Description: SSU rRNA
Rfam family: Eukaryotic small subunit ribosomal RNA
Source: RNAcentral
CUGAAACAGGGAGGUAGUGACAAUAAAUAACAAUGCCGGGCCUUUAUAGGUCUGGCAAUUGGAAUGAGAACAAUUUAAACCCCUUAUCGAGGAUCAAUUGGAGGGCAAGUCUGGUGCCAGCAGCCGCGGUAAUUCCAGCUCCAAUAGCGUAUAUUAAAGUUGUUGCAGUUAAAAAGCUCGUAGUUGGAUUUGUGGUGGUUCCUGAGGUCCAAAUUUUGGUACUAUCGGGCGCCGCCAUCCUUGGGUGGAACCUGUGUGGCAUUAGGUUGUCGUGCAGGGGAUGCCCAUCUUUUACUGUGAAAAAAUUAGAGUGUUCAAAGCAGGCUUACGCCGUUGAAUAUAUUAGCAUGGAAUAACAUUAUACGACUUUGGAUCUAUUUUGUUGGUUUGCGCUCCGAAGUAAUGAUUAACAGGGACAGUUGGGGGUAUUCGUAUUCCAUUGUCAGAGGUGAAAUUCUUGGAUUUCUGGAAGACGAACUACUGCGAAAGCAUUUACCAAGGAUGUUUUCAUUGAUCAAG